UACAGAGGGGGCAAGCGUUGUUCGGAAUUACUGGGCGUAAAGAGCGCGCAGGCGGUCGUUCAAGUCGCGUGUGAAAGCCCCCGGCUCAACUGGGGAGGGUCACGCGAUACUGAUCGACUCGAAGGCAGGAGAGGGUAGUGGAAUUCCUGGUGUAGCGGUGAAAUGCGCAGAUAUCAGGAGGAACACCGGUGGCGAAGGCGGGUCUCUGGGCCGAUACUGACGCUGAGGAGCGAAAGCGUGGGGAGCAAACAGG
RNAcentral lists this ribosomal RNA (253 nucleotides) under uncultured bacterium. RNAcentral describes it as "partial 16S ribosomal RNA". It matches the Rfam family "Bacterial small subunit ribosomal RNA", at positions 524 to 776 of the family's 1533-position model. The record is from RNAcentral.